UACGGGGGGAGCAAGCGUUGUCCGGAUUUACUGGGCGUAAAGAGCGCGCAGGCGGUCGUACAAGUCGCGUGUGAAAGCCCCCGGCUCAACUGGGGAGGGUCACGCGAUACUGUUCGACUCGAAGGCAGGAGAGGGAAGCGGAAUUCCCGGUGUAGUGGUGAAAUGCGUAGAUAUCGGGAGGAACACCAGUGGCGAAGGCGGCUUCCUGGCCUGUUCUUGACGCUGAGGCGCGAAAGCUAGGGUAGCAAACGGG
Molecule: ribosomal RNA, 253 nt
Filed under: uncultured bacterium
Lineage: Bacteria
Description: partial 16S ribosomal RNA
Rfam family: Bacterial small subunit ribosomal RNA
Source: RNAcentral